Molecule: long non-coding RNA, 1076 nt
Organism: Dermochelys coriacea (leatherback sea turtle)
Lineage: Eukaryota; Metazoa; Chordata; Testudines; Dermochelyidae
Exons: 3
Source: RefSeq, a predicted model, not a curated record
CGCGGUUUGGCGCAAAGGACGAGAAGCCAGCGCCGCAGCGGUUUGCUUCUGCUCCUGUUGGCAGCAGGGGCACAAAACCCGCUCCUUGGCUUGCUUCAGCGAAGAGCUGGAGGUGGGACGGGACAGUAACGUAAUCAGCUCCCCGCUCAGUGCAAGGGGGGGCCACAGCGAGGGGGGACCAUGCCUGAUAACCGCCAAGAGGGAGCCUAUGGAGGUUGCAGAGUGCAUGGGAAGAUGAACACGGUUACAAUAAUCGCAUUCCUCAUACUUAAGGUUAAGAUUUUGUCACAGUUAUUUUCAGUAAAAGUCAGGGGCAGUACACAGGGGAAGCUCCCAGCCUGAGCCUUGCUGCUCAGAACGGACCGACAGCCUGAGCCCCUCUGCCUGCAGGGGGAAGCUGAUCUGCAGAACCCAGCUGCCCAGGGCAGACUAGCAACCCCAGCCCCACCGCCCAUAGCAUUGCCAAAGGCGUCCUCCUGGGUUGGCCAGGAGUCUCCCAGGACUGGGCUCGAUCUCUCUGAGGCUACUGAAGCUAAUCCGGGAGAUUUUAGGCUGCUAAAAGUCGAGCAGCGCAAUGGGGCGAAGGCAGGCUCCCUCCUUGCCCUGGCUCCACACGGCCCCCAGAAGCAGCUGGCAUGUCCCUGCGGCCCCUCAGCGGAGGCAGAGCCAGGGGGUCUCCGUGAGCUACCCCGGGCCCAAGCACCCACUCCGCAGCUCCCAGUGGCUGGGAACAGGGAACCAUGGCCAAUGGGAGCUGCGGGGGCAGUGCCUGUAGGCACUUGGCCGCCCCUGAGACUAGGAGCCGCUGUCAGACAUGCCGUCGUUUCCAGGAGCCACCCAAGAUUCACUGGGACACAUUUGAAGCUCAGGGUUUGUCUGUUUGUGAAUGGCACCUUCCUGUCCUUGGAAAGAGGAAGGCCAGAUGUGAUCAUUUGCUGUCAAGAGGCUUAUCCACUUAACUUCAGCUAUAAAGAAAGCGUUGAGCCUGAUCCUAUUUUAUCGCAGAUCUGUUAAAAUUUUGACAGGGAAAAUCUAUGCCCACAAGACUGAGGUCUCCAGGUCUACUUUCAAUUAAC